CGUGUAGGCGGUAUCAUAAGUCAGAUGUGAAAGUUCGGGGCUUAACCCCGGAAUUGCAUUUGAAACUGUAAUACUUGAGUACUGGAGAGGUAAGUGGAAUUCCUAGUGUAGCGGUGAAAUGCGUAGAUAUUAGGAGGAACACCAGUGGCGAAGGCGGUUGCCUGGCCUGUAACUGACGCUGAAGCACGAAAGCGUGGGGAGCAAAUAGGAUUAGAUACCCUGGUA
RNAcentral lists this ribosomal RNA (225 nucleotides) under uncultured Alkalibacter sp. RNAcentral's name for it is "partial 16S ribosomal RNA". It matches the Rfam family "Bacterial small subunit ribosomal RNA", at positions 568 to 792 of the family's 1533-position model. The record is from RNAcentral. Lineage: Bacteria; Bacillati; Bacillota; Clostridia; Eubacteriales; Eubacteriaceae.